Molecule: long non-coding RNA, 298 nt
Filed under: Anas platyrhynchos platyrhynchos (common mallard)
Lineage: Eukaryota; Metazoa; Chordata; Aves; Anseriformes; Anatidae
Description: lncRNA (ENSAPLG00000019509.1)
Source: RNAcentral
UGCAUAGCCUAAAAUUAAGAUCUGCUUCAGAGGAAAUUUUUCAUCUCAGUUAGAAGCAGGGAACUUUGGGAAACUGGAAUGUUAGUUAUUGAGUAUUGCUUAGUUUCUGUAAGAGAUGGAUGCUAGUUUCUGUAUGCAGCACUCAGUAGCUAAAGUCCAUUUUGAGAGGCGUAUGGCCUGUGACAAAAUGAGUUUCCAUGACUGUCAUCCAGAGCUCCCCACAGAAAGGAGAGCACACGUUACUUUAGGAGACAAUAAUGGCAAGCCCUGGGCUAGAAUUAAUCUAAGUUUACGUUGA